AAAUUGAAGAGUUUGAUCAUGGCUCAGAUUGAACGCUGGCGGCAGGCCUAACACAUGCAAGUCGAGCGGUAGCACAGAGAGCUUGCUCUCGGGUGACGAGCGGCGGACGGGUGAGUAAUGUCUGGGAAACUGCCUGAUGGAGGGGGAUAACUACUGGAAACGGUAGCUAAUACCGCAUAACGUCGCAAGACCAAAGUGGGGGACCUUCGGGCCUCAUGCCAUCAGAUGUGCCCAGAUGGGAUUAGCUAGUAGGUGGGGUAAUGGCUCACCUAGGCGACGAUCCCUAGCUGGUCUGAGAGGAUGACCAGCCACACUGGAACUGAGACACGGUCCAGACUCCUACGGGAGGCAGCAGUGGGGAAUAUUGCACAAUGGGCGCAAGCCUGAUGCAGCCAUGCCGCGUGUGUGAAGAAGGCCUUCGGGUUGUAAAGCACUUUCAGCGGGGAGGAAGGCGAUAAGGUUAAUAACCUUGGCGAUUGACGUUACCCGCAGAAGAAGCACCGGCUAACUCCGUGCCAGCAGCCGCGGUAAUACGGAGGGUGCAAGCGUUAAUCGGAAUUACUGGGCGUAAAGCGCACGCAGGCGGUCUGUCAAGUCGGAUGUGAAAUCCCCGGGCUCAACCUGGGAACUGCAUUCGAAACUGGCAGGCUAGAGUCUUGUAGAGGGGGGUAGAAUUCCAGGUGUAGCGGUGAAAUGCGUAGAGAUCUGGAGGAAUACCGGUGGCGAAGGCGGCCCCCUGGACAAAGACUGACGCUCAGGUGCGAAAGCGUGGGGAGCAAACAGGAUUAGAUACCCUGGUAGUCCACGCCGUAAACGAUGUCGAUUUGGAGGUUGUGCCCUUGAGGCGUGGCUUCCGGAGCUAACGCGUUAAAUCGACCGCCUGGGGAGUACGGCCGCAAGGUUAAAACUCAAAUGAAUUGACGGGGGCCCGCACAAGCGGUGGAGCAUGUGGUUUAAUUCGAUGCAACGCGAAGAACCUUACCUGGUCUUGACAUCCACAGAACUUUCCAGAGAUGGAUUGGUGCCUUCGGGAACUGUGAGACAGGUGCUGCAUGGCUGUCGUCAGCUCGUGUUGUGAAAUGUUGGGUUAAGUCCCGCAACGAGCGCAACCCUUAUCCUUUGUUGCCAGCGGUUCGGCCGGGAACUCAAAGGAGACUGCCAGUGAUAAACUGGAGGAAGGUGGGGAUGACGUCAAGUCAUCAUGGCCCUUACGACCAGGGCUACACACGUGCUACAAUGGCAUAUACAAAGAGAAGCGACCUCGCGAGAGCAAGCGGACCUCAUAAAGUAUGUCGUAGUCCGGAUUGGAGUCUGCAACUCGACUCCAUGAAGUCGGAAUCGCUAGUAAUCGUAGAUCAGAAUGCUACGGUGAAUACGUUCCCGGGCCUUGUACACACCGCCCGUCACACCAUGGGAGUGGGUUGCAAAAGAAGUAGGUAGCUUAACCUUCGGGAGGGCGCUUACCACUUUGUGAUUCAUGACUGGGGUGAAGUCGUAACAAGGUAACCGUAGGGGAACCUGCGGUUGGAUCACCUCCUUA
This 1540-nucleotide ribosomal RNA is filed under the name Klebsiella pneumoniae. RNAcentral describes it as "bacterial SSU rRNA". It matches the Rfam family "Bacterial small subunit ribosomal RNA". Lineage: Bacteria; Pseudomonadati; Pseudomonadota; Gammaproteobacteria; Enterobacterales; Enterobacteriaceae. The record is from RNAcentral.